GCCAUAUCAAGUUGAAACACCGGUUCCUGUAUGAUCACCAAAGUUUUGUAAUGUUGAGCCUUGUCAGUACCAAGAUGGGUGACUGCUUGGGAAUACCAAGUGCUGUAAG
This is a non-coding RNA of Acanthosepion pharaonis, 109 nucleotides long. NCBI's taxonomy places the organism in Eukaryota, Metazoa, Mollusca, Cephalopoda, Sepiida, Sepiidae. The record is from the annotation of a GenBank genome assembly.